This 465-nucleotide ribosomal RNA is filed under the name uncultured bacterium. Its description in RNAcentral is "partial 16S ribosomal RNA". It matches the Rfam family "Bacterial small subunit ribosomal RNA", at positions 338 to 795 of the family's 1533-position model. The record is from RNAcentral.
CCUACGGGCGGCAGCAGUGGGGAAUAUUGCGCAAUGGGCGAAAGCCUGACGCAGCGACGCCGCGUGAGGGAUGAAGGUCUUCGGAUCGUAAACCUCUUUCAGCAGGGAAGAACGGUCACUGUGCUAAUCAGCAUUGAAUUGACGUUACCUGCAAAGGAAGCACCGGCUAACUCCGUGCCAGCAGCCGCGGUAAUACGGAGGGUGCGAGCGUUAAUCGGAAUUACUGGGCGUAAAGCGCUCGUAGGCGGUAUGUCAAGUCAAUGGUGAAAUCCCCGCGCUCAACGUGGGAAUUGCCUUUGAAACUGGCAGACUGGAGUGUGUGAGAGGAUAGUGGAAUUCCAGGUGUAGGAGUGAAAUCCGUAGAUAUCUGGAGGAACAUCAGUGGCGAAGGCGACUAUCUGGCACAUAACUGACGCUGAGGAGCGAAAGCGUGGGUAGCAAACAGGAUUAGAUACCCCUGUAGUC